UACUAAAUUCUGAUAUCAAUUCUUCCUCCACACUACUAGAAGAUAUGAAAGAUAUGUAGUACACUAUAGAACAGUGAGUACCUACUUUCUGAAGUUAUCCGCAAGAUGUCGUAGGUAAUAAGUAUGGUGGCAAUUCAAAAACCAAUCAUUGACCACUUUGAUACAUCUAGAUUGACGGUCAGAGUAAAAGGUGUAUUGCUUGAUCAAUGAGCCAU
RNAcentral lists this long non-coding RNA (215 nucleotides) under Elaeis guineensis (African oil palm). RNAcentral's name for it is "long non-coding RNA (EGUI_LNC060287)". The record is from RNAcentral. Lineage: Eukaryota; Viridiplantae; Streptophyta; Magnoliopsida; Arecales; Arecaceae.